GUGGGGAAUUUUGGACAAUGGGCGAAAGCCUGAUCCAGCCAUGCCGCGUGCAGGAUGAAGGCCUUCGGGUUGUAAACUGCUUUUGUACGGAACGAAACGGUCCGGGUUAAUACCCUGGGCUAAUGACGGUACCGUAAGAAUAAGCACCGGCUAACUACGUGCCAGCAGCCGCGGUAAUACGUAGGGUGCAAGCGUUAAUCGGAAUUACUGGGCGUAAAGCGCGCGUAGGUGGUUUUGUAAGUUGGAGGUGAAAUCCCCGGGCUCAACCUGGGAACUGCCUCCAAAACUGCAUGACUAGAGUACGGUAGAGGGUAGUGGAAUUUCCUGUGUAGCGGUGAAAUGCGUAGAUAUAGGAAGGAACACCAGUGGCGAAGGCGACUACCUGGACUGAUACUGACACUGAGGUGCGAAAGCGUGGGGAGCAAACAGGAUUAGAAACCCGUGUAGUCC
RNAcentral lists this ribosomal RNA (450 nucleotides) under uncultured bacterium. RNAcentral's name for it is "partial 16S ribosomal RNA". It matches the Rfam family "Bacterial small subunit ribosomal RNA", at positions 354 to 796 of the family's 1533-position model. The record is from RNAcentral.